Molecule: ribosomal RNA, 495 nt
Filed under: Vibrio pelagius
Lineage: Bacteria; Pseudomonadati; Pseudomonadota; Gammaproteobacteria; Vibrionales; Vibrionaceae
Description: bacterial SSU rRNA
Rfam family: Bacterial small subunit ribosomal RNA
Source: RNAcentral
CUCCUUUAGAGUUUUGGACCUGGCUCAGAUUGAACGCUGGCGGCAGGCCUAACACAUGCAAGUCGAGCGGAAACGAGUUAUCUGAACCUUCGGGGAACGAUAACGGCGUCGAGCGGCGGACGGGUGAGUAAUGCCUAGGAAAUUGCCUUGAUGUGGGGGAUAACCAUUGGAAACGAUGGCUAAUACCGCAUAAUGCCUACGGGCCAAAGAGGGGGACCUUCGGGCCUCUCGCGUCAAGAUAUGCCUAGGUGGGAUUAGCUAGUUGGUGAGGUAAUGGCUCACCAAGGCGACGAUCCCUAGCUGGUCUGAGAGGAUGAUCAGCCACACUGGAACUGAGACACGGUCCAGACUCCUACGGGAGGCAGCAGUGGGGAAUAUUGCACAAUGGGCGCAAGCCUGAUGCAGCCAUGCCGCGUGUAUGAAGAAGGCCUUCGGGUUGUAAAGUACUUUCAGCAGUGAGGAAGGGGGUGUCGUUAAUAGCGGCAUCUCUGACUA